CUCAGGACGAACGCUGGCGGCGUGCCUAAUACAUGCAAGUCGAGCGGACAGAUGGGAGCUUGCUCCCUGAUGUUAGCGGCGGACGGGUGAGUAACACGUGGGUAACCUGCCUGUAAGACUGGGAUAACUCCGGGAAACCGGGGCUAAUACCGGAUGCUUGUUUGAACCGCAUGGUUCAAACAUAAAAGGUGGCUUCGGCUACCACUUACAGAUGGACCCGCGGCGCAUUAGCUAGUUGGUGAGGUAACGGCUCACCAAGGCAACGAUGCGUAGCCGACCUGAGAGGGUGAUCGGCCACACUGGGACUGAGACACGGCCCAGACUCCUACGGGAGGCAGCAGUAGGGAAUCUUCCGCAAUGGACGAAAGUCUGACGGAGCAACGCCGCGUGAGUGAUGAAGGUUUUCGGAUCGUAAAGCUCUGUUGUUAGGGAAGAACAAGUACCGUUCGAAUAGGGCGGUACCUUGACGGUACCUAACCAGAAAGCCACGGCUAACUACGUGCCAGCAGCCGCGGUAAUACGUAGGUGGCAAGCGUUGUCCGGAAUUAUUGGGCGUAAAGGGCUCGCAGGCGGUUUCUUAAGUCUGAUGUGAAAGCCCCCGGCUCAACCGGGGAGGGUCAUUGGAAACUGGGGAACUUGAGUGCAGAAGAGGAGAGUGGAAUUCCACGUGUAGCGGUGAAAUGCGUAGAGAUGUGGAGGAACACCAGUGGCGAAGGCGACUCUCUGGUCUGUAACUGACGCUGAGGAGCGAAAGCGUGGGGAGCGAACAGGAUUAGAUACCCUGGUAGUCCACGCCGUAAACGAUGAGUGCUAAGUGUUAGGGGGUUUCCGCCCCUUAGUGCUGCAGCUAACGCAUUAAGCACUCCGCCUGGGGGAGUACGGUCGCAAGACUGAAACUCAAAGGAAUUGACGGGGGCCCGCACAGCGGUGGAGCAUGUGGUUUAAUUUCGAGCAACGCGGAAGAACCUUACCAGGUCUUGACA
RNAcentral lists this ribosomal RNA (983 nucleotides) under Bacillus subtilis. RNAcentral describes it as "bacterial SSU rRNA". It matches the Rfam family "Bacterial small subunit ribosomal RNA", at positions 23 to 986 of the family's 1533-position model. Lineage: Bacteria; Bacillati; Bacillota; Bacilli; Caryophanales; Bacillaceae. The record is from RNAcentral.